This 497-nucleotide ribosomal RNA is filed under the name uncultured bacterium. RNAcentral's name for it is "partial 16S ribosomal RNA". It matches the Rfam family "Bacterial small subunit ribosomal RNA", at positions 28 to 507 of the family's 1533-position model. The record is from RNAcentral.
GAUGAACGCUGGCGGCGUGCCUAAUACAUGCAAGUCGAGCGAACGGACGAGAAGCUUGCUUCUCCGAUGUUAGCGGCGGACGGGUGAGUAACACGUGGAUAACCUACCUAUAAGACUGGUAUAACUUCGGGAAACCGGAGCUAAUACCGGAUAAUAUUUUGAACCGCAUGGUUCAAAAGUGAAAGACGGUCUUGCUGUCACUUAUAGAUGGAUCCGCGCUGCAUUAGCUAGUUGGUAAGGUAACGGCUUACCAAGGCAACGAUGCAUAGCCGACCUGAGAGGGUGAUCGGCCACAUUGGAACUGAGACACGGUCCAGACUCCUACGGGAGGCAGCAGUAGGGAAUCUUCCGCAAUGGGCGAAAGCCUGACGGAGCAACGCCGCGUGAGUGAUGAAGGUCUUCGGAUCGUAAAACUCUGUUAUUAGGGAAGAACAUAUGUGUAAGUAACUGUGCACAUCUUGACGGUACCUAAUCAGAAAGCCACGGCUAACUACGUG